Long non-coding RNA from Vespa velutina, 1421 nucleotides. RefSeq lists it as uncharacterized. The record is from RefSeq and is a predicted model, not a curated record. The transcript has 4 exons. NCBI's taxonomy places the organism in Eukaryota, Metazoa, Arthropoda, Insecta, Hymenoptera, Vespidae.
CUUUCUUUUUUUUUUUUAUUUUAUUUUUAUUUUUAUUUUUUUUUAUUUUUUUUUUUAUUUUUUUAUUUUUUUUUUUAAAUUGAAUAUACCCAUCGAGAACUGUCGUGUAAGUCCAUUGAUGAAUAUGAAAUGAUAAUAAAAAUGAAAAUAAUAAUAAGGCAAAAAAAAAAGGAAAAAAAAAAAGAAAAGAAAAGAAAAAGAAAUUUUUUUUUCAACUAAUGCUCGUUAUCUAGUAAACAUCGUUAUUAAUUAACUUCCAACACUUGGUAUUAUCACGAUGAUGGAGUCACGAAUACGCGCGUACUCGAAAUAAUCAAGUGCGACAGCUUUGGUUAAGCGAUCGGUCGAUAGAUGGCGACAAUCGCGCAGAAUGGCGACGAACCCAUCGUCGUCGUCGUCGUGUCAUACGAAUUCCGUUGCAAACCGAAAGAAUCGACAUAACGGUGUGCGUGUGUUUGUAAAGCAUGCGCUCGCGCGCGUGACACUUGUUGCUAAAAAAAAAAAAAAAAAAAAAAGAAAAAAAAAAGAAAGAAAGAAAAACAAAUGGGUAAAAGGAAAAACGUUCGCGGUUUCAAGACAAGAUCGUCCAAUAGUUUCUAUGUACCUCAGUCUCGCGGUAAAAUCAGACUUGGAAAAAGGAAAGGAAGAGGAAGAAGAAGAAGAAAAAAGAUGGCAGGAGGAGAGGGAGGAAGAGGAGAAGGAGGAGAGGAAGGAAGAAAGGAAGGAAGGAAGGAAGGAAGGAAGGAGGGAGGUGCACCAAGCAAGAUAGGAGGAGGCGAUUUUACGCUCGAGAUGAUGGAGAUAAGAGUCAAUUAAACUUGGCAGUGAUUGGCAAAGACCGAGAGUUAAGAUCCUGGGUAUGAAUCAUUCGUAAAGCUCGUAACGGUAUUCGUGGACUUGCUGCAGAGAUCUUCGGGAGCAUGUUUCAAAGUUUUAAUUGGCUGAAAGGAUGCUGGCAAUAUGGCGGUGAUGGUACGGAUAGGUCCAUCUAAUUAUAACAGUUCGCGUGUGUAUAUGGCUCGGUGAAAGGCGUAUUAACUACGUGACUAAAAACUCUUCAACGUGUGCGCGUUGUAAUGCUAAAUAACUUCGACGAUGACGACGACGACGACGACGACGGUGACGACGAAAACGACGAAAAUGACGACGACGAGAAGGAAAAUCAAGUGUCUCUUUGAUUCUUCAACAACUAGACGUAACGUAAACGUAAAAAUAAAAUUUGCUCGCCAAUAUGGCGACCAACAUCGUAAACAGAACGAGUCACAUUACCGAGAAACGUAAGAUAUUUAUUUGUAAGACUGUUUAAAAAAAAAAAAAAAAAAAAAAAAAAUUUCCAUAUUAUCGAUCGAACACGUUAGAAACGUGUUCUAAUUUAAAAGGAAGGGAAACAAAAUAAAAAAAAAAAAAAAACAAGAAAGAAA